CAGUCGCCGCGGGAAUACGGAGGGUGCAAGCGUUAAUCGGAAUUACUGGGCGUAAAGCGCACGCAGGCGGUCUGACAAGUCAGAUGUGAAAUCCCCGGGCUUAACCUGGGAACUGCAUUUGAAACUGGCAGGCUAGAGUAUGGCAGAGGGGGGUGGAAUUCCGCGUGUAGCAGUGAAAUGCGUAGAUAUGCGGAGGAACACCGAUGGCGAAGGCAGCCCCCUGGGCCAAUACUGACGCUCAUGCACGAAAGCGUGGGGAGCAAACAGGAUUAGAUACCCGGGUAGUCCCUGUCUCUUAUAC
Molecule: ribosomal RNA, 301 nt
Filed under: uncultured bacterium
Lineage: Bacteria
Description: partial 16S ribosomal RNA
Rfam family: Bacterial small subunit ribosomal RNA
Source: RNAcentral